Paramuricea clavata is the source of this 1120-nucleotide non-coding RNA. The record is from the annotation of a GenBank genome assembly. Lineage: Eukaryota; Metazoa; Cnidaria; Anthozoa; Malacalcyonacea; Plexauridae.
CAUGGUAAUGCUGCCCGAACCCCAAUCCGGGACGAAACGUCCGAAACCGACCACACCCAAAAACGACGCUUUCGCCAUAGUGCUAUCUACCAAACCAUACAAGUUUUGGCUAUUCUGAGGUGCUUAUAUGGUUCAGAGAUAGUGCUUUUAGGGGUGGUCAUUGGUAAGUGUGAAAUGCCUAGCACUGAUAUUUCACAAGAAAAUGACCAUGUAAUACUCAUAGUCAAACGUGAAUUUGUGGCUUACAACUUCAGAUAAACAGCAGUGGACCUACAUUACCUUUUUUCCUAAAUCUUUUUGAUAGAAACAUAAUUGGUACUUAUUUAAUUAUAUUAUCACUGUUUUGGUUUAAAAUGGUUAAUAUUUUGUGACCGAAAUAAUAAUUUGAAAUGUAUUUACCUCCUGCAAAUGGACGUAUUUGGCCAAAUUCUCCACUUUACUCCGCUGUUUAUCGCAGAUCUCGUUGAAAUCCUUCCAAAUAUUCAGUUCAGCUCAAACAUGACGGUAUUAAGCACAUUUUAAACAAGUUUUAACUGGGUUUCAAGUAGAUCCUAGCUGUUUAACCAUCGACAAGGUAAAACCUCAAUUUUGUCCAAAUUCGGCGCCAUUUUGUCAUCCCGUUCGGUUGUCCACAAUGCGGCCUCGUUAUUCUUCCAUCCAAGCCAUUUAACAAGAAAUAAUGACAAAUGCAUUGUAUCACCCUGUAAGAUGUUGCUUACGAGUCUUUCAAAACAUUGCGUACAAAUCUCGUGUGGCAAAGUAACAGGGACGUGCAGCGUUACCAUGUUGACCGUCAUGGUCAACUUACCCUAAAACAGUUGAGAUUAUCUGUCCUAAAUGAAAUGCAUACAAACUCAUAUACAGGUCCUAGACUAUAAGGAUGAAUAAGCCAAAACUCUAGUCUAUUUCUAGAUUUUGGGAAUUUAACUUCCAGAGCAGCUAGUGCAGACUGUUGAAAACUAUCAUAUAUAUAAGAAUACAAACAUCCAGAUUUCGUGAUUUUUAUUUGUGAUUUAAUAGUAAUAUAGGUACCAUAGGGGCCGGAUUUUUGUGGUGGAGUGUUUUGGGGGUGCGUUCAUUAAAUAUUCAGUAAAUGAUAGUGAGGUGGAUGAGCGAGAGC